AUUCAGCUGACGCGUCCCAGAUAGGACAAAACGCGAGUCCUGGAU
Molecule: non-coding RNA, 45 nt
Filed under: Schistosoma mansoni
Lineage: Eukaryota; Metazoa; Platyhelminthes; Trematoda; Strigeidida; Schistosomatidae
Source: RNAcentral